CGACCGCUGGCGGCAUGCCUAACACAUGCAAGUCGAACGAGACCUUCGGGUCUAGUGGCGCACGGGUACGUAACGCGUGGGAACCUGCCCUUAGGUUCGGAAUAACUCCCCGAAAGGGGUGCUAAUACCGGAUAAUGUCUUCGGACCAAAGAUUUAUCGCCUUUGGAUGGGCCCGCGUUGGAUUAGCUAGUUGGUAGGGUAAAAGCCUACCAAGGCGACGAUCCAUAGCUGGUCUGAGAGGAUGAUCAGCCACACUGGGACUGAGACACGGCCCAGACUCCUACGGGAGGCAGCAGUGGGGAAUAUUGGACAAUGGGCGAAAGCCUGAUCCAGCAAUGCCGCGUGAGUGAUGAAGGCCUUAGGGUUGUAAAGCUCUUUUACCCGGGAUGAUAAUGACAGUACCGGGAGAAUAAGCUCCGGCUAACUCCGUG
This 431-nucleotide ribosomal RNA is filed under the name uncultured bacterium. RNAcentral's name for it is "partial 16S ribosomal RNA". It matches the Rfam family "Bacterial small subunit ribosomal RNA", at positions 30 to 507 of the family's 1533-position model. The record is from RNAcentral.